RNAcentral lists this ribosomal RNA (253 nucleotides) under uncultured bacterium. RNAcentral describes it as "partial 16S ribosomal RNA". It matches the Rfam family "Bacterial small subunit ribosomal RNA", at positions 524 to 776 of the family's 1533-position model. The record is from RNAcentral.
UACGGGGGGGGCAAGCGUUGUUCGGAAUUACUGGGCGUAAAGGGCGCGUAGGCGGUUCGAUAAGUCAGCUGUGAAAACCAUGGGCUUAACUCAUGGCCUGCAGUUGAGACUGUCGGGCUGGAGUGUGGGAGAGGAGAGUGGAAUUCCUGGUGUAGCGGUGAAAUGCGUAGAUAUCAGGAGGAACACCGGUGGCGAAGGCGGCUCUCUGGGCCGUAACUGACGCUGAGGAGCGAAAGCGUGGGGAGCGAACAGG